UUUCCGUAGGUGAACCUGCGGAAGGAUCAUUACCGAGGGGCUUCGGCCCUCUCAAGAUACCACCCUUGCAUUUUAGAACCUUCUGUUUCCUCGGCGGGCUCGCGCCCGUCAAUGGGGACCACACCAAACCCUUUUGUAGUUGCAGUAAACGUCUAAAACAAAUAAAUCAAAACUUUCAACAACGGAUCUCUUGGUUCUGGCAUCGAUGAAGAACGCAGC
This 219-nucleotide unclassified non-coding RNA is filed under the name uncultured fungus. RNAcentral's name for it is "sequence contains ITS1, 5.8S rRNA gene". The stretch from base 171 to 219 matches the Rfam family "5.8S ribosomal RNA", at positions 1 to 49 of the family's 154-position model. Lineage: Eukaryota; Fungi. The record is from RNAcentral.